RNAcentral lists this ribosomal RNA (253 nucleotides) under uncultured bacterium. RNAcentral's name for it is "partial 16S ribosomal RNA". It matches the Rfam family "Bacterial small subunit ribosomal RNA", at positions 524 to 776 of the family's 1533-position model. The record is from RNAcentral.
UACGUAGGGUGCGAGCGUUAAUCGGAAUUACUGGGCGUAAAGUGUGCGCAGGCGGCUUUGCAAGACAGAUGUGAAAUCCCCGGGCUUAACCUGGGAACUGCAUUUGUGACUGCAUGGCUGGAGUGCGGCAGAGGGGGAUGGAAUUCCGCGUGUAGCAGUGAAAUGCGUAGAUAUGCGGAGGAACACCGAUGGCGAAGGCAAUCCCCUGGGCCUGCACUGACGCUCAUGCACGAAAGCGUGGGGAGCAAACAGG